This 142-nucleotide small RNA is filed under the name Escherichia marmotae. Its description in RNAcentral is "Short Intergenic Abundant RNA". It matches the Rfam family "Short Intergenic Abundant RNA". Rfam says of the family: This family contains multiple ncRNA from E. coli that were identified in a large scale screen of E. coli, were they were called candidates 43,55 and 61. These RNAs have also been identified by other groups and called QUAD RNAs. Lineage: Bacteria; Pseudomonadati; Pseudomonadota; Gammaproteobacteria; Enterobacterales; Enterobacteriaceae. The record is from RNAcentral.
UUGACAGUAAGGGGGGAGUGACAUACUUUCAGGAGUGAGGGUUGAGCGGGGUUUCCCCCGCCCUGGUAGUCUUAGUAAGCCGGUAAGCUAAUGACUAAGAGCACCACGAUGAUGAUCCAUUUCAUCAUGACCCUUUCCUUCU